RNAcentral lists this non-coding RNA (123 nucleotides) under human gut metagenome. RNAcentral's name for it is "FMN riboswitch (RFN element)". It matches the Rfam family "FMN riboswitch aptamer (RFN element)". From Rfam's summary of the family: The RFN element is a highly conserved domain that is found frequently in the 5'-untranslated regions of prokaryotic mRNAs that encode for flavin mononucleotide (FMN) biosynthesis and transport proteins. This element is a metabolite-dependent riboswitch that directly binds FMN in the absence of proteins. The record is from RNAcentral.
UGUCUUCAGGGCGGGGUGAAAUUCCCCACUGGCGGUAUAGUCCGCGACCCGCAGAGCCUUGGUUCUGCGGCUGACCCGGUGAAACUCCGGGACCAACGGUUACAGUCCGGAUGGAAGAGGAUG